UCGCCGUUGCAAUGGGGCAACGCGCCCAC
Molecule: small RNA, 29 nt
Filed under: Bombyx mori (domestic silkworm)
Lineage: Eukaryota; Metazoa; Arthropoda; Insecta; Lepidoptera; Bombycidae
Description: ovarian small RNA-7572
Source: RNAcentral